This 468-nucleotide ribosomal RNA is filed under the name uncultured bacterium. Its description in RNAcentral is "partial 16S ribosomal RNA". It matches the Rfam family "Bacterial small subunit ribosomal RNA", at positions 28 to 507 of the family's 1533-position model. The record is from RNAcentral.
GACGAACGCUGGCGGCGUGCUUAACACAUGCAAGUCGAACGGAAAGGCCCUGCUUUUGUGGGGUGCUCGAGUGGCGAACGGGCGAGUAACACGUGAGUAACCUGCCCUUGACUUUGGGAUAACUUCAGGAAACUGGGGCUAAUACCGGAUAGGAGCUCCUGCUGCAUGGUGGGGGUUGGAAAGUUUCGGCGGUUGGGGGUGGACUCGCGGCUUAUCAGCUUGUUGGUGGGGUAGUGGCUUACCAAGGCUUUGACGGGUAGCCGGCCUGAGAGGGUGACCGGCCACAUUGGGACUGAGAUACGGCCCAGACUCCUACGGGAGGCAGCAGUGGGGAAUAUUGCACAAUGGGCGGAAGCCUGAUGCAGCAACGCCGCGUGCGGGAUGACGGCCUUCGGGUUGUAAACCGCUUUCGCCUGUGACGAAGCGUGAGUGACGGUAAUGGGUAAAGAAGCACCGGCUAACUACGUG